This 67-nucleotide transfer RNA is filed under the name Cryptotermes brevis. RNAcentral's name for it is "tRNA-Arg". Lineage: Eukaryota; Metazoa; Arthropoda; Insecta; Blattodea; Kalotermitidae. The record is from RNAcentral.
AAGCAAGAAGCGAAAAUCGCUACCAGUUUCGACCUGGUUUUAAGGUAGAUAAAUCUACCCUUACUUU